RNAcentral lists this ribosomal RNA (151 nucleotides) under uncultured bacterium. RNAcentral describes it as "partial 16S ribosomal RNA". It matches the Rfam family "Bacterial small subunit ribosomal RNA", at positions 381 to 524 of the family's 1533-position model. The record is from RNAcentral.
CCCUGAUCCAGCCAUGCCGCGUGUGUGAAGAAGGUCUUCGGAUUGUAAAGCACUUUAAGUUGGGAGGAAGGGCAUUAACCUAAUACGUUAGUGUUUUGACGUUACCGACAGAAUAAGCACCGGCUAACUUCGUGCCAGCAGCCGCGGUAAU